This 250-nucleotide ribosomal RNA is filed under the name uncultured Eubacteriales bacterium. RNAcentral's name for it is "uncultured Clostridiales bacterium partial 16S ribosomal RNA". It matches the Rfam family "Bacterial small subunit ribosomal RNA", at positions 84 to 334 of the family's 1533-position model. Lineage: Bacteria; Bacillati; Bacillota; Clostridia; Eubacteriales. The record is from RNAcentral.
GGGGUGCUCGAGUGGCGAACGGGUGAGUAACACGUGAGUAACCUGCCUUAGACAUUGGGAUAGCCUCGGGAAACCGGGAUUAAUACCAAAUAAAAUCAUAAUGACACAUGUCAUAACGAUCAAAACUCCGGUGGUCUAAGAUGGACUCGCGUCCCAUUAGCUAGUUGGUAGAGUAAAAGCCUACCAAGGCGACGAUGGGUAGCCGGCCUGAGAGGGUGAACGGCCACAUUGGAACUGAGAAACGGUCCAA